UACGUAGGGGGCAAGCGUUAUCCGGAUUUACUGGGUGUAAAGGGAGUGUAGGCGGUCUGGCAAGUCUGAUGUGAAACUCCGGGGCUCAACCCCGGAACUGCAUUGGAAACUGUCAGACUAGAGUGCAGGAGAGGAAAGUGGAAUUCCUAGUGUAGCGGUGAAAUGCGUAGAUAUUAGGAAGAACACCAGUGGCGAAGGCGGCUUUCUGGACUGUAACUGACGCUGAGGCUCGAAAGCGUGGGGAGCAAACAGGAUUAGAUACCCUGGUAGU
This 271-nucleotide ribosomal RNA is filed under the name uncultured prokaryote. Its description in RNAcentral is "partial 16S ribosomal RNA". It matches the Rfam family "Bacterial small subunit ribosomal RNA", at positions 524 to 794 of the family's 1533-position model. The record is from RNAcentral.